UCUUGUUUUAGCCUGUCCAAGUUUGGUGCGUUCAUUGAAGGACUUGGUGCUCGAACAGCUGCCGUUGAUGAAUUAGGCACUGGCUUGAUAGCUAAAGCCAAAACAGGACCACUUGUAUCAGUAGGCAACCUCUCUCGCAUAUAUUGUUGCUGAGCGACUGAACCAGCCUCAACUCGAGCGGUCUCAUCCAAUCUAGAUGCCAACAUCUUUUUUCUCUUAAUCUUUUCCUGAUCCUUAUGUCUGCUGUACAAGGACCUCCGUCUCUCUUUUGCCCUACAAAUUGCACG
RNAcentral lists this unclassified non-coding RNA (287 nucleotides) under Hevea brasiliensis (rubber tree). The record is from RNAcentral. Lineage: Eukaryota; Viridiplantae; Streptophyta; Magnoliopsida; Malpighiales; Euphorbiaceae.